AACGCACAUUGCGCCCUCUGGUAUUCCGGAGGGCAUGCCUGUUUGAGUGUCAUUAAUCUCUCACAAAACCUUCUGGUUUCUGUCGAAGUUGGGAGCUGCGACCCCUUGUGGGACGCUCUCCUUAAAUGUAUUGGUGCGGCCUGCCGCCCGGUCACACAACGUUCUAGGUUCGUCCAACUCGUUGCUUUACCGGUGCAAUUUUGGUGCUGCACCUUAAGCCCGCCUCGUGCCUUGUGCUCUUGGCUUAUCUUCAUUUAUUGACCUCAGAUCAGGUAGGAAUACGCGCUGAACUUAA
Molecule: unclassified non-coding RNA, 295 nt
Filed under: uncultured fungus
Lineage: Eukaryota; Fungi
Description: partial contains 5.8S ribosomal RNA, internal transcribed spacer 2, and large subunit ribosomal RNA
Rfam family: 5.8S ribosomal RNA (bases 1-52)
Source: RNAcentral